GCAAAUGGCUGGAGUUCACACACAGGAUUGGGUGCAUGCCACCUGCAGUGUGACUCAGCAGACUGACAGAAGCC
This 74-nucleotide microRNA precursor is filed under the name Callithrix jacchus (white-tufted-ear marmoset). Its description in RNAcentral is "mir-4435 microRNA precursor family". It matches the Rfam family "mir-4435 microRNA precursor family". The record is from Rfam by way of RNAcentral. Lineage: Eukaryota; Metazoa; Chordata; Mammalia; Primates; Cebidae.